CCGAAACUCGAGAGUUUUGUCUAUCGGUCACUAUCACAGCACCCACAAACUAUAGUUAUGAGCUCCACAGAGAAAUAUACUAGAUUUACUUGGAGCGAUAUGGCCGUCGAAUCGCUCUUCGAGCUGUGGGAGGAUAAUUUGGAUGGGCUCCGAGGGGACCGCAAAAAUACGCAUAUCUAUAAAGAAAUUUCUGAAAAACUAAAGGACUUCGGGCCCAAUCACAUGGAAGUAAAAAACAAAAUGGAAACAUGGUAAAGAGGUACAGGUAAGAAGGGAGCUGGCCAAGGUGGAUCCGUCAAGGGGGAGACCCUCGUCAUGGGAGCACUUUGACCGAUUGGGUUACAUUCUUGAAACCACUAAUAGAGUUUAUGAUAAUCCUGCCGACAGCAAAGAGUUCUUAAAAUUCGCGGAGGCCAGUUGCGAUAUCGAGUGCUCAGAAGCAAGCAACUCUUCUUUUCCCACCGAAAAUUCCUUUGAGGAGUCCUCGGGCCCUCUAGCGAAAAAGAGUCGCUCUGACUUGACCGAGAGAUUGGUUGAGGCUGAGGAAAGAAAGGCCGCAGCAAUGGAAAAAAUGGCUGAGGACUCCGCAAAAUUCCAGAACCGCCUGCUGGAUAUCCUGGAAAGGCGUUAUAAAAAGUAAGAAGUCUUUGUUAUAUCUACAAUAAGAACUAUGCAUAUAAAUAAUAAAAACUAGGCAUAUAAGAAUUUUUCCGAAUU
RNA transcript from Drosophila subpulchrella, 717 nucleotides. RefSeq lists it as uncharacterized. The transcript is spliced from 4 exons. The record is from RefSeq and is a predicted model, not a curated record. NCBI's taxonomy places the organism in Eukaryota, Metazoa, Arthropoda, Insecta, Diptera, Drosophilidae.